AUUGAACGCUGGCGGCAUGCUUUACACAUGCGAGUCGAACGGCAGCGCGGGCUUCGGCCUGGCGGCGAGUGGCGAACGGGUGAGUAAUGCAUCGGAACGUGCCCAGUAGUGGGGGAUAGCCCGGCGAAAGCCGGAUUAAUACCGCAUACGACCUGAGGGUGAAAGCGGGGGGCCGAAAGGCCUCGCGCUCUUGGAGCGGCCGAUGUCGGAUUAGCUAGUUGGUGGGGUAAAGGCUUACCAAGGCGACGAUCCGUAGCUGGCCGGAGAGGACGACCGGCCACACUGGGACUGAGACACGGACCAGACUCCUACGGGAGGCAGCAGUGGGGAAUGUUGGACAAUGGGGGCAACCCUGGUCCAGCCAUGCCGCGUGCGAGAAGAAGGCCCUCGGGUUGUAGAGCGCUUUUGUUCGGGAAGAAAUCCUCUGGGCUAAUACCCCGGGGGGAUGACGGUACCGGAUGAAUAAGCACCGGCUAACUACGUG
This 484-nucleotide ribosomal RNA is filed under the name uncultured bacterium. RNAcentral's name for it is "partial 16S ribosomal RNA". It matches the Rfam family "Bacterial small subunit ribosomal RNA", at positions 28 to 507 of the family's 1533-position model. The record is from RNAcentral.